AGAGUUCGAUCAUGGCUCAGGACGAACGCUGGCGGCGCGCCUAACACAUGCAAGUCGAACGGAGCUUAUGGGACAGAUCCUUCGGGUGAUUGAACAUAAGCUUAGUGGCGGACGGGUGAGUAACACGUGAGCAACCUGCCCUACAGUGGGGGAUAACGUUUUGAAAAGAACGCUAAUACCGCAUAACGUACCGGAAGGGCAUCCUUCUGGUACCAAAGGAGCAAUCCGCUGUAAGAUGGGCUCGCGUCCGAUUAGCCAGUUGGCGGGGUAACGGCCCACCAAAGCGACGAUCGGUAGCCGGACUGAGAGGUUGAUCGGCCACAUUGGGACUGAGACACGGCCCAG
This 345-nucleotide ribosomal RNA is filed under the name uncultured bacterium. RNAcentral's name for it is "bacterial SSU rRNA". It matches the Rfam family "Bacterial small subunit ribosomal RNA", at positions 8 to 334 of the family's 1533-position model. The record is from RNAcentral.